GGGCAUCCUUAAAUGCAUACAAAAACUAAAAAAAAAAAGAAAAUCUUAAAAUCAGCAAACCUAAUUUCAUGCAAAUUUCAAAAAUUAACUCCAUCUUCUUGCUCCUGCAAUUAUAGAGAAAAACCUCAAGAGCCCCAUUUCAUUUUCUCUCUCCAACCGAAAACCUCUUUUCAAUUUCUCUCACAGAGAAACCCCCUUUCAAUUUGUAUUUCUUUACUCUCUUUAACAGGAAACCUCCUUUCAAUUUCUAUUUCAUUUUCUCUCCCUAACAGAAAACCCCCUUUCAAUUUCUCUCACAGAUAAAACCCCUUUUCAAUUUCUCUCUAACAUAGAAACCCCCUCUUUCUCUAACAUAGAAAUCCCCUUUCAUUUUCUAAUGCUUUCAGCUGCAGCCCAUCCUCCCCUUUCAGCUCCAGGCAUCUCCCUGCUUUCAAUGGAGUAGCUAUUCAGCUCCAAGCCUCUCUCUGUUUUCAAUGAAGCAGCGAUUACCCAUACUCUCCCGUUCAGCUCCAGUCCAACCUCCCUUUCAACUCCAGGCCUCUCCCUGGUUUGAAGGAAGCAGAGAUUACCCAUAGCCUUCAGGCGUCUUCCUAUUUUCAG
RNAcentral lists this long non-coding RNA (600 nucleotides) under Amborella trichopoda. RNAcentral's name for it is "long non-coding RNA (ATRI_LNC000985)". Lineage: Eukaryota; Viridiplantae; Streptophyta; Magnoliopsida; Amborellales; Amborellaceae. The record is from RNAcentral.